Molecule: long non-coding RNA, 264 nt
Organism: Perognathus longimembris pacificus (Pacific pocket mouse)
Lineage: Eukaryota; Metazoa; Chordata; Mammalia; Rodentia; Heteromyidae
Exons: 3
Source: RefSeq, a predicted model, not a curated record
AUAUAUAUUUCUAGGCACAUAUAAAAAUCCUUAUAGGUAAAAGAGGUAAGUGAAGGAAUAUGCAUCGAUAAUAAUAACCAAAAACAAAUAUAUCCAUCAAAAUAUAAAUAAGUAUAUAGUGAGAACUAUACAAUAGAAAUAUCUGGAUGCAUCUAUACAUGACAACAGACAGGAAUAUAAUGUGCAUGACAUGUAUACUAUGGACACACUAACAUAGUUUGGAAAUUAUGGGGGGCUGGGAAUAUGGCCUAGUGGCAACAGUGC